CUUCUAUCAUCCCCUUACCCUGCCAUUGCCAUACUUGGGCACUAAAAGUAUGUGUAAUAUUAAUGUGUGAUAUACAGUUUAAAAUGCUUGCUGGUGGAAUGGCUACAACUUAAACUGUUAGAAAUGCCCUCUCCCAUGAUCCAUCCCCCAGCAGAUGGGUACUUUGUCCAGCAGCUGUGCUUCUUCAGCAAGUCGUUGUUACCCUGUCUCAUUUCUCCUAGGUACUAUAUCACUGAGCUCUCUGCUCUGCUGGAACGCUUCUUCUAUAGGCUUGCUGCAGAGUUUAAAGAGGAAAAGGUCCCUCAGUGUCAUGAGAGACUUUUCACGACAGUAAUCUUUUGCUAUCAGAGGUGAAAUAUCCAGGCUAUAGAGGUAGUAGCUUUUGCUGUGACUGCUGCUUAGAUAGAAAGCUUAAACUCCUUGAGUUGUUAGUCUUGUAUCUGAGGUUUUAAAUUCAUUCAGCCUGGUGUUUGCCCAUUGCCUUACUACUUUUGACUUGACAUGGCCUAGUAAACUGCAAUCCCUCUCUGGGAAUGUUGCCGAAAGCCUGCUGAAUAAGGCUUCUCAGGUUGUACUUUCUUUUAUUUACAUUCUGAGACUAGUGUUCUCUCUAUCCAAGCACCAAUCGUACUUUGUGUUAAAGAUGGGAACCUUUGCUUUCUCUAAUAAUAGGUUUUAAAUCAGGAGGAAGAGAACUUUAACUCAGUUGGCAUGGAGGGCAGAAUAUAUGGUGCAGUGAAUAAACAAAGACCUAGAAGGCUUUUGUUAGACUAAAAUACUCCCUGUGAUUGUUUUUGAUAAAAUAAUAAUAAUUACAGUGAUGGCUGAUGCUUGCCACUGAAAACCUGUAAUUUCUAACAGCUGUGGCAUGGCCAUGACAGCUACCAGCACAUAUAAAAUAAAAUGUAUAUUUCCCUGAACUGAGAUUGCCUGUAUAUGUAAAUUCUCUAUUGACUGUGCCUGUUUGUUUUAUUAGUGACUCACCUGAAACACCAAAAGAUUUAUAUAUUUUCAAAAGUUUUGUCUUAAGAGCUCUUAAAAGAUUUUGAAGCCAUGCUUUUUAAAAUAAAUUAAUUAAUGGCCUUAUCAGAAUGUAGCUUAUUAGAUAAAAUUGUUUAAGGCAUGCUUCAAAUCACACAGUUGCUGCAAACCUAAUAUUAACUAAGCAGUUAUUCAAUAGGCAGAAAUUUGCCUUUUUCCCCAGCAUCUGCAACAUCAGGGAACUCUAUGGUAAGAGAGGAAUUGUAUAUGUGAUUUUCAUAGUAAUCAACUAGGGUAUUACCAAAUUUGCAUUCGCAGUUUAUCAAAGAGGAGAGAAAAUACUUUGCAGUUCUCUGUUUAUUUUAAUAUUUUGACAGAUGUUACAUGAUUUAACACCAGUUGCUAAGUAAAUACCUACUAUGUACAAGGAAGGCACUAUGCUUGGUAUUAGGGAGAGUAAAUGAACCAGGUAACUGCCACAGGAAACUUCUAAUUUAUUAGGAAAGGAAGAUAUAAAUAACUUUAUUACAUGUUAUUUGAAAUAAGAACUUUAAGACUGGAAUAAACGCAUAACUAUAGGUAUUUGGAGGUGACAAUUUGCUGUGUCAUGAGACAGAAAAUGGUUCAAAAGGAAGUCAGAACUAAUAUUGUUGCAAGGGAAUAUAUUGCUAGUUUAAAACAAGAAAUGUGUUUUGUUUGUUUGUUUAUAUUUUUCCAGCAGCCAUGUGGGUAUUUAGGGUCAAAGCAGGGAGAGGAACAGGACUUAUGUGGCAAAAGACAGGCAUUUCUCAGAAUCAGAAGUUGUUUAGGCCAGACAAACCUAUGAGUGGCCAUUACAGACAUGGUAUUUAGCAGAGUCUUGAUUUCAUGAAGAAGAAAGAAGGAAGGACAGAAGAAAUUCUAGGCCAAGGGAAGGACAGGAACAAGAGUGUAGAAAUGAGAUGAUUCAAAGCAGGUGUUACUUACUUGGCUAGGCAAUGCUGUAUAUAUUUUACAUACUUCCUCUUUAGGACAGAAUUAGAAUUGAGGAUAAGUGAAUUUGUAUCAGAAUGUGAUUAUGUUCCUUUAAUUCAUAUUUUUUUCUCCAGAAGAUUUUGACAUUAUUACAUAUGUAAAUGUAAAAUUAUGUGUCAAUCAACAAAUUGAACUAAAUCCCUCCUAAGUUGGUGUGAAAUCAUAAAUAUGUUUGAAAACAAUACUGCAUGCUGAUUUUUCACAAACCAUUUGAUAUCCCUUCACAGCUUGGCUGAAGUUGCUUUGCUCAACAGGGAGGUAGAAAAAAUACACAAUGUUGUGGCCUCUGGUCCUGAAAUAAAAAUAGUGGUUUGAUUAAAUGCCAGUUGGUUGUAAAUGAUAACCCACAUAAACAGUGGGAAAUCAUUAUGCUUAAGCAGUGAAUUCUAAUUUAAUUUUAUGGCCUUUGGAAAAAAAUCCCCUAGGCCAGUCAGCAGAAGCUAAGGAAUGGAGACUCAGCUGAAUGUUGGAGGAAUUGCAAUUCUGUUAGGCCAGCUCUGAGAUGACCUACCCUGCAGCAAGCAACUGGUUACCUAGAUUCUUCCCCCUAUUCUUCAGAUGGGGUCAUUUUAUUGUUUGAUCACCAACAUACAAAUCUUAAAUUUGUAAAAAAGCCACAUCACCAAAUUUUUGUGUUUGAUGUCCAUGUGUUUCAGUUACAUAUUUUAUUGAUGCAUAAACCACCCCCCCCAAAAAUUACUACUACCUUGAAACAACAACCAUUUCAUUAUAUCUAAUAAUUUUCCAUGUCAGAAAUUCCAUCAGGGUUUGGUUGGGUGAUUCUUCUGCUUCAUAAGAUAUCAUCUGGGAUCCCUUGGUGAUAUCCAGUUGGUAUGUUGGCCAGUCUAAAGGGAAUAAGACAGCUUCAUCCACAAGCCUGGUGUUUUUGAUGGUGACAGCUGGAAGACUGGGCUCAACUGGGUAUCUCUCUUUCCCAAAGUAGUUGUAAGAGCUCUUCAUCUUAUUUCUCCAGCAUGGCAGUCAAACUUCUUUCAUGGAAGCUCAAGUCUACAAGAGAUCAAAGUGGAAGCUGCCAGUCUUUUUACAGGUUAGUUCAGGGAUGGAAUAACCUCGCUUUCACUGUACAAAUCCAAAUAAUCCUAGGCCAGCCAGAUUCAAGGGGAGAGCAAAUUGAUUUCACCACUCAUUGAAAGGGAUAUCCAAGGAUUUGCGACCCUCCUGAAUCUACCAUAUCAUGUACAAAACAACAAAGUCUUCUAGAAAAAUGAGAAAAGUGAAAAUUGAAAAACCAAAAUUGUUAAUAUGUACACAUAAAGAUCAAUAAAAAUUAUUUUUCAUGGUCAAGCUAUUUCUUUUCUUCAUGCAGUGCUGCUGAACAAGUGCUAUCUAGGGCAGAUUAUCACUGUGUAAAGAAAACUUUAACAAGUAGAGAUUCUUUUGGAUCUCUGUGAAAAUUUAAUCUACAGAUCUAAUAUAUAGCUAGUGCCUUGGCCCUGUCUUUCUGUGACCACUUGCACUAUGUGCUUAAUUUCUAAGGUUUUUCUCCUCAACUUUUUGUUUAAUGUGCAUAUCUUGGCCUUUCUCAACACCAAACUAUGCAGCUUGUUUGUUGGAUGUUGUAUAUGUGUAUCCCAGGCAACAGAUGCAAUACACCCUAUUGUCUUGGCAGCAAACACACUUUAAGAACAAUACUGCUUCUCAUAACCCUGGUAAGGUAGUUUAAUUUGGCACUGACUGACAGUAGUUGCAAUACCAUAUAAAGAUGCCUAUUGGCACUGGUUUGGUUUUGCAGUCAGAGAAGGCAAAGAGAUACUAUUUUUCAGCACUUUGUGCUGGGGUUGUUGAUCUAAUUUGAUCUAUACAGGGCCUUGUAUAAAGGUGCAAGUUGUACUAGGCAGGCAUCUGGAGCUGUUUGGCUGACAGAACAUUACUGGAUAUUAGAAUAAAUUAGGCAAAAUUAGUACAGCAUUCAAAUGGUGCCAAUACAGGUGUAAUAUUGAUUGACUGCUACAAUAUGUCACAUAGCAACAAAAUCACACUAAGUAAAGGAAGAAAAUGUUACAGAGGUAUGAGAACAGAAAAUAUUAUAGGACAUUUAUUAGGUAGCCAUGAUAUGAUCAAAUUUAUUUAAGCACUUAUAAAACUCACUAAGAUUUGUUUCCAAGUAUAAAACUCACCAAGGUUUAUUUCCAAGUAUUUUGGAACGUUUUUAAUCAGAGGAGGAAAGACAAAAUAAGAAAUGAAAGGCAUUUUCUAAAAUUUACUUUUGGAUUAGAUUUCUUGCCUCUAUACUUCAACUCAGUAAGCAUUUAUUAAUUUAUCUCUGUGCAUUUUUUCUGUAUUCAUAGAUUCAACUAGAUUUAUUGAAAACCUGCUACAAGACUGUUAAGAAGAUACAUACAUAUAUACAUAAGUGAUAUACAAUCACAAUGGAGAUAAAUACUAUGUAUAAGGCAUGCUAAAGGCUUGUGUAAAAAGCUCUCAGAAUUUCGGGGGGGUUCACAUGUAAAGAAUUUAUUUCUUACAUAUUUUCACUCGUUGUUCCUUGUUAGGCAGCAAUAUGGGUAGCUCUUCAUAAGGAGCAAUUUAGGGACCUAGUUUUCUGCAUCUUGUGGCUCCGUUCUCCUCCUGAUUUUCAUGUUUUCUCUGUUUAGCUAGUAUGUGGGAAAAGAAGGCUGGAGGGUUAUGGAUGAGAGGAUUUUAUGGGCCUUGCUUAGAAAUGGUAUGCCAAACUUCUGUUCACAUUCUACUGUUCAGAUCUCAGUCACAUGGUCAUAUAUGACUCAAAGGAGGGCAGAAAAUAUAGUUUAGUUGCUGCUCCAUAGGAAGAGGAAAAUUAUUAAGCCGUCUCUGCCAAAUGCUUAUGAAUGAAAAUAACAGAUGCUUUCAGGAUGUGAUGGAUAAAGAAAAACAGAAUAAAACAAAAUAUCAUCAUGAGAUUUGCAGUACUUGUGGUGAAAUAUAUAAAUGAGAUUUUUAAAAUGCAACACAAUUUACAUUUGAAUAAAAACAGACCAUUAACAAAUCUUUUGCUAUCACUGAAUCUAAUUAUUUCUUGUAUGUAAAGAGUUAAGGGUGGGGUGGUUUGUGCCUGUAGUCCCAGCUGCUACUACUCAGGAGGUAGGUGGGAGGAUCAUCUGACCCUGGGGAGGACGAGGCUGCAGUGAGCCAUGAUUGCACCACUGCAUGCCAGCCUGGGCAACAGAGUGAGACCUUGUCUCAAAAAAAGAAAAGAGUUAACAUCCAGUUUAAAGUACUUGCUAAGGUAGUGCAACUAGUUAGUGUCACAACGGGGACACUUAUUGUCAGAGAAGUUUGUAAUGCUCAGUGCUUGCACUCACCCUUACCCACAUAACUGAUUCUCAUUUUCUGUCUACUAUCAGAUGAGCCAAUAUUUCUAAUUAAUAAUGCUUAUUUCCAGUGCUGAACUUUCUUUGGAGGAAUUCAAUUAAAGGGACCUUGAUUCACAUUCAAAUAACUACCCACAACUGGCAAUAACUAUCCUCCAGAGAAACCCAACCUGAAGAAGUUCAUGCAUGAAGUCUGACCUUGCUUAAUUGGUUUGGUGGGACAGGACCAAAACUCUUCUAGAGACAGGUAAAACUGAUCCAUACAAAUGAAUAUUGGAAUCUUCUUUCUUGGGGUCUAGGCUGAUGUGGCAUCUGGCAACGGAGGCCAACUGAAACUUGGGCCUCCAAGUAUAUCCAAGUACUGGCUGUGGCUGAAGCUUGAGCUGGCUACAAGGUUUCUCCUAUACAGGAGAGAGUAGCUACCUUUAUUGCAUAUAUUUACAUAUUGGUAUUCAAUGCUUUUGUAUUGGAAAAACUGAAGUUUGUUCUUUUAGAGCCAGUUUCUGAGGUGAGAGGUAGAGAGAAUUAGAGAUAUGACUAGUAGGGUCUCCUAAUCACGAAACAAAUUGCAACCUAUGCCUUGUCCGGUCAUCUUUAUAUGACUGUUUUCUGAAAGAGAUAUGAAUAACAUGUACUGUGCAGAUUAAGGGGUUGAAGAAUUCAGAGUGUGUACAGUUUUGAUGUGGGUAACUUUUAGGGAGGAGACAGAGAUUAGAAAAUGUAUCUAAAAAUAUAGUUUGCAGCUGCCCUGCUUUCUAAUCCCUUAAGGUGCUCAAUAAAACACAGACUCCUGGGCUACCUCCAAGUUAUUGAAUAAGACUCUUAAGCUUUUUGACCUGGAAUCCUGAAUGUUAGCCAAAAUUCCCUUUGCCUAAACAAUGGCUACUGGCAAGGGAUGAAAAAAAACCUGAAUGCUGAUAUUGAAAUGUAAAUCAUCGAAUUGUUUUUUCUGUAUUUCGUAAGUAACAUGCCAAUUUACAAAGUGAACAUUUUCCUGAUCAUCCCAGAUGUGGAACUAAUGAAAGACUAUUUCUAUACAUAGUCAAAUCAAAUAUAAAAUGAUUCAUUCCUGCUUAUUUCAGAUAACUGGUCAAAAAGAAUUGUUUGUCUGCAGUGAUUGCUGUUAGCUAAGAUCAGCUGUCAUGGAUCAUGUUUGGCAUGCCAGAGGUCUUAUGAGAAUCAGCUGUCAGGCAUGGAAUAGAAUUGUACAGUUGCUAUAGGUCAAAGGAGAGAGUGUUUUUUUUGCUAGUGGAAUUUUGAUGUUGUGUCAAUGGUGGUAUAAGUGGUUAUAUUUAACACAGUGAGGUUCCCAAGAAGUCUCAUUAAGAAUCCUAAGGCACUAAAAUAUCUCCAAAUUAUGAAAGAUUUAUUUUGCAAGGCUUAUUUUCCUCUUGGCUAUAAUGAGAUACUGAGUAAACAUUUUCAAUGAUAAAUUCGGAUAUAACAAGUCUUUGUCAAGACUUUUAGAAAGACUCACACUGGAAAUUCUGAAUGACUUUGUUGAAAUUAUGCAGGAUUCUGGUUAGACACUAAUAGAUAGCUAAUGUUGAUUUUUUCUUUAAUAACAUUAUAACUAUUUUUUGAAUCAAUGCACAAUAAAGUACUGAGAAUUGGGUGAGUUUUCAAGAAAUCCAAAGCCAUGAAUCUGUCAAUUGUGUCAUACCAUCAGUAGUGGUGAGUUGAAUGGCAAGACCCACUUAGCUUCUGUUCACUCAGGGGUCACAAAUUGGCCAUCUACAGGGAUCAUUUGGCCUGUGAAUGAAUUUAAUUUAGAAGAAAAAACUCACUAAACUUUUUUUACUCAGGUGAAGCCAUUUAAAAAUGUAAUGAUUUUACAUAAAAACCUAGAUUCUGGUAUUCUCAUGAAAAAUCAGAACAUUAGCACAUUUCCCUAUGGCAGCAAUCAGAAGUGGUGGCCCCCGUUGGAUAAUCAUGUACUCUCCAGCAUGAACCUGCUUCAGGCAUUCACAUUACCUGCCUCUCUGAGUUUCUGCACCCUCCACGGAUUGAGGCUCUUAUGAAAAUGACCUGUUCUCCCCUUUUAAAUUUCUAGUGCUUUUCACUUGGGAUCCUUUCAAGAUGACUACUUACUCUGUGAGAGAUGACAGAAACCACUUGACUACAUUUUGUAAAGAUAUACAUGCGUAAGACAUAUACGAAGGCCGACAGUUACAGGCACACAAAAUUCGUCCAGGCUUGUCAAGCUUAGAAGAUGUAUCAUUGUGUAUUGGUAGGAAUAAGGACCAAGGUUAAUAAAAUAAAAUAUGAUGGGGAAAUGUGAAGUCCUAAAUUUACUUAAAUAUGAAUCCAUAAAUUUUAUUCACAAAUACAAAUCCCUAAAUAAAAAAUCAGUUAGGAAAAUACAAAAUGGUAAAGACCUGAUUUGGUAGUAUUUUUCUAAAAACAAAGUUUUCAUAAGUGAUAAGUUCAAUGUGUAUCAGUAGAGUGAUAUGACUACUUUAAAAAAGAUGCAAAAACAGGUGCAUUAGUAGAAGUAAAAUGUACAGAUGGUGAAAAUUAUGAUAUUUUGUACUUCAUUUUUGUCAAUCUGGGUAUAGAGGAGUGUUUCCUCUGAAGUUUUAAAAAGGCACUGACCACAAAACUGCAAGAAAUGAGAAUAGGUGACAUUCAUGGAGAGGGUUGUAGGAAUCAAGACAUACAAGGAAUGAUUGAAUAAACCAUAUGUUUAAACUAGAGAAGAAAAGAAAAAAUGAAAAAAGGUAAGAGGAAUAGGCAAGCUCCUUAAAUUUUGAAAGGGCUCUGACACAGCAUGGGAUAUGUUCUUGUACUGUGACUCCAAAGACCAGAAACUGAUAAAGGCCUGAUUAUUUUUAAAAUAUGGGAGAAGGUAAAUUGCAAAUUGCUCAGAUUAGUGACACUGACCGCUAUGAAUGGAAAAAUAAGAACUCUAUUAACAGAUGGAUUUUGAACACUUACUAAAGAGACAGAGGUUGGGCCGGGCACGGUG
RNAcentral lists this long non-coding RNA (8274 nucleotides) under Homo sapiens (human). Its description in RNAcentral is "non-protein coding lnc-UBE2E3-6:1". Lineage: Eukaryota; Metazoa; Chordata; Mammalia; Primates; Hominidae. The record is from RNAcentral.